GCUUUAUCCUGACGAAAGUUCAAACUCUCGAAACUUUCGUGUAGUAUCGGGGGCGGUCGUGCGGAGCCGAUUGUAAACCGCCUAAGCUCCUCCUCCUUUCUUCGUUUAGGAUAUGUCUAGGCCGAAACAGAAUAAAAACGUGUUCUUCUUUCAAAUUUUUGGGCAAAUAGACAAAAAUUUGACGUUUAUCCCUAGAUCAUAUAUAUAGAAAUACAUUUUUAAGAUAUUUGUAUAUAAAUUAUAUAUGAUCUAGAGAUUUAUCAUGUGACGAGCAGAUUUUAUGCAAAUAUUUAAAUUAAUCUGUGAAUUAAUCUUUAAUAGCAUUAUGUAAUAGUUAAUAUCUUUUAUGGGUAAUUACCCUUUUAUUGCUGGUUUGGCAGAUUAAGAUUUAUGAUGUUUUCAUAAUGUUUUCCGUCAAAAGAAAUUUAUAUUUAUGAAUUAGUUUUCAGCGGAAGGCUUUAGUAAAAAAUUCGAACCUUAGUAACCGUUUUCUUUUUGCCAAAAAGGUAGAUAUUUUUUUAUGUUAGAAGUUAUAACUUAAUUGGGCAUUGGGCAUCAAAAUAAACAUGUGAAUAUCUUGACUUGGUGUUUGUUGUCUACUUUAAGUGGUACUGAAUUUAUUAAAAUAAACGUUGUUUUCUACA
Sitophilus oryzae (rice weevil) is the source of this 644-nucleotide long non-coding RNA. RefSeq lists it as uncharacterized. NCBI's taxonomy places the organism in Eukaryota, Metazoa, Arthropoda, Insecta, Coleoptera, Curculionidae. The record is from RefSeq and is a predicted model, not a curated record. The transcript has 2 exons.